This 341-nucleotide unclassified non-coding RNA is filed under the name soil metagenome. RNAcentral describes it as "partial contains 5.8S ribosomal RNA, internal transcribed spacer 2, and large subunit ribosomal RNA". The stretch from base 1 to 120 matches the Rfam family "5.8S ribosomal RNA", at positions 35 to 154 of the family's 154-position model. The record is from RNAcentral.
GAUGAAGAACGUAGCGAAAUGCGAUAAGUAGUGAGAAUUGCAGAAUUCAGUGAAUCAUCGAAUCUUUGAACGCACAUUGCGCCCCUCGGUAUUCCGUGGGGCACGCCUGUUCGAGCGUCAUUUACACCCUCAAGCGCAGCUUGGUGUUGGGCGUCUGUCCCGCUCUCCGUAGCGCGGACUCGCCUCAAAGUCAUUGGCGGCGGUCGUGCCGGCUCCUCGCGCAGCACAUUUGCGCUUCUCGGAGGCCCGGCGGAUCGGCAUCCAGCAAGCUACUUUUUAUGACUUGACCUCGGAUCAGGUGAGGAUACCCGCUGAACUUAAGCAUAUCAAUAAGCGGAGGA